RNAcentral lists this ribosomal RNA (254 nucleotides) under uncultured bacterium. RNAcentral's name for it is "partial 16S ribosomal RNA". It matches the Rfam family "Bacterial small subunit ribosomal RNA", at positions 524 to 776 of the family's 1533-position model. The record is from RNAcentral.
UACGUAGGGUGCAAGCGUUGUCCGGAAUUAUUGGGCGUAAAGAGCUCGUAGGCGGUUUGUCGCGUCUGCUGUGAAAACGCGAGGCUCAACCUCGCGCCCUGCAGUGGGGUACGGGCAGACUAGAGUGCGGUAGGGGAGAUUGGAAUUCCUGGUGUAGCGGUGGAAUGCGCAGAUAUCAGGAGGAACACCGAUGCGAAGGCAGAUCUCUGGGCCGUAACUGACGCUGAGGAGCGAAAGCGUGGGGAGCGAACAGG